Dermatophagoides pteronyssinus (European house dust mite) is the source of this 80-nucleotide non-coding RNA. The record is from the annotation of a RefSeq genome assembly. NCBI's taxonomy places the organism in Eukaryota, Metazoa, Arthropoda, Arachnida, Sarcoptiformes, Pyroglyphidae.
GGUAGCGUGGCCGAGAGGUCUAAGGCGUGAGUUUUAGGCACUCAUCAGAAAUGGCGUGGGUUCGAAUCCCACCGCUACCA